AAGUCGUAACAAGGUUUCCGUAGGUGAACCUGCGGAAGGAUCAUUAAUGGGUUACUGAACUUCGGUUCAACCUCCAACCCUGUGUCAAAUUACCAUGUUGCUUUGGCAGGCCAGUCUUUGGCUGCCGGGGGUCUUUCGGCCUCUGGUUUGUGCCUGCCAGUGGCCCCAUUAAAUUCUUUUUUUAACCAUUCUGUCUGAGUCAUAAGUUAAAUUUAUAAAA
Molecule: unclassified non-coding RNA, 220 nt
Filed under: plant metagenome
Description: partial contains small subunit ribosomal RNA and internal transcribed spacer 1
Rfam family: Eukaryotic small subunit ribosomal RNA (bases 1-46)
Source: RNAcentral